This 253-nucleotide ribosomal RNA is filed under the name Tepidisphaera sp. RNAcentral describes it as "partial 16S ribosomal RNA". It matches the Rfam family "Bacterial small subunit ribosomal RNA", at positions 524 to 776 of the family's 1533-position model. RNAcentral also lists the same sequence under 1 other name. Lineage: Bacteria; Pseudomonadati; Planctomycetota; Phycisphaerae; Tepidisphaerales; Tepidisphaeraceae. The record is from RNAcentral.
UACAGAGGCCUCGAGCGUUAGGCGGAAUCACUGGGCUUAAAGCGUGUGUAGGCGGACUUCUAAGUACCUUGUGAAAUCCCACGGCUCACCCGUGGAACUGCUCGGUAUACUGGUCGUCUUGAGCCUUCUAGGGGCGAGUGGAACAAAUGGUGGAGCGGUGAAAUGCGUAGAUAUCAUUUGGAACGCCAAUGGUGAAAACAACUCGCUGGGGAAGUGCUGACGCUGAGACACGAAAGCCAGGGGAGCGAACGGG